AUUAUGGAGAGUUUGAUCCUGGCUCAGAACGAACGCUGGCGGCGCGUUUUAAGCAUGCAAGUCGAACGGGAUUCAAAGUGCUUGCACUUUGAUGAGAGUGGCGAACGGGUGAGUAACACGUAAGUAAUCUGCCCGGAAGUUGGGGAUAGCCUGUGGAAACACAGGGUAAUACCGAAUAAUUCUUUUAAGUGGGAACUUAAAAGGGAAAGGAGCUAAGGCUUCGCUUUUGGAUGAGCUUGCGGUUCAUUAGCUAGUUGGUGGGGUAAAGGCCUACCAAGGCGACGAUGAAUAGCCGGCCUGAGAGGGUGACCGGCCACACUGGGACUGAGAUACGGCCCAGACUCCUACGGGAGGCAGCAGCUAAGAAUCUUCCGCAAUGGACGAAAGUCUGACGGAGCGACGCCGCGUGUAUGAAGAAGGCCUAACGGUUGUAAAGUACUUUUCUUGUGGAGGAAUAAUGAGUGUAGGGAAUGACACUCAGAUGACGUUAAACUUGGAAUAAGCCCCGGCUAAUUACGUGCCAGCAGCCGCGGUAACACGUAAGGGGCAAGCGUUGUUCGGAUUCAUUGGGCGUAAAGGGCAUGUAGGCGGCAUGGCAAGUCUGGUGUGAAAGAUCUCGGCUUAACCGAGGGGACGCACUGGAAACUGCUAAGCUAGAGUAUCGGAGGGGAAGUUAGAAUUCCUAGUGUAGGGGUGAAAUCUGUAGAUAUUAGGAAGAAUACCGGUGGCGAAGGCGAGCUUCUGGCCAGAUACUGACGCUGAUAUGCGAAAGCGUGGGGAGCGAACAGGAUUAGAUACCCUGGUAGUCCACGCUGUAAACGAUGUGCACUAGGUGUUGGGGAGAUAUCCUCAGUGCCGUAGCUAACGCGUUAAGUGCACCGCCUGGGGAGUAUGCUCGCAAGGGUGAAACUCAAAGGAAUUGACGGGGGCCCGCACAAGCGGUGGAGCAUGUGGUUUAAUUCGAUGAUACGCGAGAAACCUUACCAGGGCUUGACAUAUAUAGGAAUGUAAUGGAGACAUUGCAGCUGCUUGCAGUCUAUAUACAGGUGCUGCAUGGCUGUCGUCAGCUCGUGCUGUGAAGUGUUGGGUUAAGUCCCGCAACGAGCGCAACCCCUGUCAUCUGUUGCCAGCAUUAAGUUGGGGACUCAGAUGAUACUGCCGGUGACAAACCGGAGGAAGGUGGGGACGACGUCAAGUCAUCAUGGCCCUUAUGUCCUGGGCUACACACGUGCUACAAUGGCUGGUACAGAGCGCCGCGAAGCCGCGAGGUGGAGCAAAUCGCAGAAAGCCAGUCUCAGUACAGAUUGGAGUCUGAAACCCGACUCUAUGAAGUUGGAAUCGCUAGUAAUCGCGCAUCAGCAUGGCGCGGUGAAUACGUUCCCGGGCCUUGUACACACCGCCCGUCACACCACCCGAGUUGGGUGUACCCGAAGUCGUUAGUCUAACUUCGUGAGGACGACGCCGAAGGUAUGCUUGGUAAGGGGGGUGAAGUCGUAACAAGGUAGCCGUACUGGAAAGUGCGGCUGGAUCACCUCCUUU
This 1539-nucleotide ribosomal RNA is filed under the name Spirochaetaceae bacterium. Its description in RNAcentral is "bacterial SSU rRNA". It matches the Rfam family "Bacterial small subunit ribosomal RNA". Lineage: Bacteria; Pseudomonadati; Spirochaetota; Spirochaetia; Spirochaetales; Spirochaetaceae. The record is from RNAcentral.